This 814-nucleotide ribosomal RNA is filed under the name uncultured bacterium. RNAcentral's name for it is "bacterial SSU rRNA". It matches the Rfam family "Bacterial small subunit ribosomal RNA", at positions 8 to 795 of the family's 1533-position model. The record is from RNAcentral.
AGAGUUUGAUCCUGGCUCAGAACGAACGCUGGCGGCGUGGAUAAGACAUGCAAGUCGAACGAUUGCCAUUGGGUAGCAAUAUUCGAUGGUGAGAGUGGCGCAAGGGUGCGUAACACGUGGGUAAUUUGCCGUGAAGUCUGGAAUAACUUGCUGAAAGGCGAGCUAACACCGGAUGUGAUUUCUGGGAGACAUCUUCCGGAACUUAAAGUCGGGGACCGCAAGGCCUGACGCUUCUCGAUAAACCCGCGACCUAUCAGCUAGUUGGUGAGGUAAUAGCCCACCAAGGCGAAGACGGGUAGCUGGUCUGAGAGGACGACCAGCCACACUGGAACUGAGACACGGUCCAGACACCUACGGGUGGCAGCAGUCGAGAAUUUUUCACAAUGGGCGAAAGCCUGAUGGAGCGACGCCGCGUGGGGGAUGAAUGGCUUCGGCCCGUAAACCCCUGUCAUUUGCGAUCAAACCUCACGACCCAACACGUCGUGAGUUGAUAGUAGCGAAAGAGGAAGGGACGGCUAACUCUGUGCCAGCAGCCGCGGUAAUACAGAGGUCCCAAGCGUUGUUCGGAUUCACUGGGCGUAAAGGGUGCGCAGGCGGUCGGGUAAGUCUGACGUGAAAUAUCGGAGCUCAACUCCGAAACUGCGUCGGAGACUAUUCGGCUAGAGGAUUGGAGGGGGGGUUGGAAUUCUCGGUGUAGCAGUGAAAUGCGUAGAUAUCGAGAGGAACACCCGUGGCGAAGGCGAACCCCUGGACAAUUCCUGACGCUGAGGCACGAAAGCUAGGGGAGCAAACAGGAUUAGAUACCCUGGUAGUC